CUGCCUUUCUCAGUUUUUCUCCUUCAUGACUUCGUCUUCUCCUCAAUCCUCAGUCGUUGGUAGAGUCACCUGACUUCUUCACCACAGCCUCCUCCGCAGUCCGCAGUGACGGCUCCAAGCUCCUCAACCAUACUUUAAGUCGCCAUUGCUUGACUCACUUCCCUACGUUUUCUUCCAUAAACCCGCUGUUUUGAAGAUAUAUUUUUCCUUCUAGCUUUGAAAUUUUACCUUUUUUUGUAGUUUGGGUUUCUUUCGCAUCUUAUCUUUUUCGAUAAUUUUUUAGAAUUAGGGUAUGAAUCACUGACAUCAGUUUUUAUGGUAUGCAUCUGUAUAUUUGGCAAGAAUGUCAAACUUAACAUUAUUUUUUUUCUAGAAAAAAUGGCUAUUCUUCUAUGACGAUAUAUUGUAGUCAAUACACUGUUUGAAGUAUCUGAUUUAAUUUUUACGCUGAGUUUUAAUUAUUUGAGUUCCAUUGCCUAAUGUCCCAUUCUUUUGGAUCUUGUUCCGUACUCAUUCGCAUUGGAGAGCUGCAAAGGUGAGUGAAAUUUCUUAAAACCAUUAUCUCAUUAGAGUGCUAGUCAUUGUUGCUUAAUCCAUUUCUACAGAUAGCUCUGAAAUUGAGAAAGAUUUCUUGAAAGUUCUACUAACGAUAAUCUUAUUUUCAUGUAUGUUGUGGAAUUUUUUGCUUACGUAUGAAGUUUCAAUCAUCUGAUUUAACGUACAAGAAAAGCAGUAACAAGGACUACUAACAAGUUUAUUUGCUUAAAUUGACAUUUUCAGGGAAGUGAGAAGCUUCUUCAUUUAGUCGCUGAUGAUUCCACUUGUCCGAAUCAGCAUUUUGAGACAAAGAUGCGUGAGAGUACAGCAUCAAACUCUGAUGAAGGAAGUGAUGAUUCCGUUGGUCCUCCAUGGUACGUAUCCUAAUAUUGUGAUUUGUGAAAUAUUAAUUGCAAUAAUUGAUAUGCUCAUAGUUCUUUCUUUUGCUUUGUCCCUGUCCCUGGAUUUAGUUUUCUAGUAUUCAUCUUGGUUGCUUAGAGCUAAUUGCACAAAUAAGAGUGAAGCGGAGUCGUUAACAACAUAUGAACUUCAGAAUUUUAAGUUUUAAAUUACAAUAGGUUACAUAAUACACCAUUGAAUUUUGCAUUUAUGUUAAUUUUUGAGGGCCUAAUUUAUGGACGUCGCCUCGGGACUCGACAAUCACAAAACCAGCCAUAUUUCUAGUCAUUAAAAGCUUAUGAAAUCACCGACGGACAAGUUCAAUUCCGCAAAAUUCCGAUCCCGCCUCCCCAUUGCACUCCAUUAAAGAAAUCAUGAAUGGAAAUCGAUAUCCUAAUUUACGACCACGUGAAAACUGACUUUCGGAUGAACCUCAAAGCCUACCGUGUCAAAUUGAAGACCCGAUACGACACGCCUAACAUCACUAACCUCAACAAGUGCACCAACUUUGUUCAUUCCUUUAUGUUCGGCUUUGAUGUUGUUGACGUUGGAAUUAAUAAGUUAAUACCCACGAUUUAGAUGCAUGAAUUGGAAAAGUUUUUCAUGGAUGUGAUUACUAGACACGACUCUUCAAUUGUAAAGGGUGCAUAUUAAAUAGUCAUGUCGAAAUGAAUAGUGGCCUUUUGAUAAGGUGCUAUCAAUAUGAUAAAUUUAAAAUUGUGUGAUCUAAUGGUUAAAAUUAAUUUUUGUCAAAAGAUGCAACCAUUCAAAGAAAAACAUGAAAAUCUAUAAAAUAGGACAUUUUCAUUUUUUUUUUCACUCCAGUAAUUCAUUCUUUCUCCAAAUUAUAUCAAAGGUAAUUUUCAAAUUAUUUUUGAGUUUCAACUUUCAUAUUCGAUAUUUAACAUUCGAUACCUUUCGUUCCAGAAGAGUACAGUCAAGAGUUAGUUCAUCCAACAAAAUUAAUAUUGUGCUAUAUUAAUUUUGGAAGAUGCAUUAUAUCUUGAAAGACGACAUCAAUUUGAUCAUGUUAGCCUGAAGGGCAAAUUCUGUCUUAAGGAGAUUUACAUUCGCAUAUCCCGCUUCAUUUCAUCUACUUCUUAUUUCUACGUUUUAGUAAGUCAAAAUUGGUUUAGUUAAUUUAGUUUCAAUAAGUUAAAAUUCUAUUAGAUUUUACAAGUAUAAAGAUAAGUCACGAUUAUAUCUUAUUUUCAUGCUCCUAAUUUUGAUUAGCGGAACAUAAAUUAUACACCAUUUAUGUAGACGCAGUUGCAUUGCUUCGAUUAGACGAUCUUUAUGUUGAAUCCUUCAGAGAUUAACAAUGUGAAGACCAUAAGAGCCACGACUGUUCGAUUACCUGAAAGGUCUUGAAUAUUACCCUUGAUCAUUCACGAUACAGAUUCUUUUUCUUUUUACCUUUUUGUUGAGCUAAAAAAAUUCUAUUAAAGUAGUUGUUUUUAUGUUCAUAUGGUAGAACAUAAAGCCUAUGAUAUCUGACAUUUUUGGUCUUAAAACUCAAAAUGGAUUGUUCAUCAAUUUUACCAGUGCAUGUAUAUGAUCUUUCAUGAUUAAAUUAUCCAAAAGACGACAAUGUUCAAGUUGUGAGUGCUUAAACGGGUAUGCUGCUUUGCCAUGACUUGAUAACAAUGCUCCUUUAAAGAGGACAAGUAAUUUCACCUUAAUACUCACAAGCCCAAGUUUUUCAUAGCCAUUGGCACCACAAGAGGAAAUACAGUAGAAAGAAAACUUCCAAACAUGAACACGAAUGGAACAGGGUAAAAGUUCUUCGGUGAAGAGCACGGUCAAGACGACAUUUUUAGAUAUAAGAUUUGGGACUUCAAAGUCGAUGCAACGGUAGUCUCAUCCUUAGUUGUCAAAUCUAAUGGAGGUUUCAAUCUGCUGGAUUAACAUUGGCAGAUAAAAGAAGGCCUCGACAAAAAUGAUGGAUAAAAACUGAUAAUAUAUAUUUAUUUUAUUAUAUUAGGUUUCCUUGUAAUAUAUAAACUGAUUUGUUUCAUUGUUUAACCUAAUUUUUGGUGGCUCAAUAAUGUCUUCUUCUUCUCCUUUGAUUGUUUUAUCAAAUAAGUUCGUAUUAUUUUCAUGGUAUCAGAGCCAAAAUCUAUGCAUUGAAGUUGAUUCUAUUUUGUGCAAAUUGAAAACGGUGCUCCAGAAUAUUUGUUUUCAUGAACAUUGAAUUGGACUGUUUGUGGUUGGAUUGAAUGAUAAAUUGUGUCUGCUUUGUGUUUUAAAAAUGGACAAUGGUUCAAAUUCUGCUUUUUGAUUGUUCAAAUUGUUGGACAAUUUUUUCAAAUUGUUGGCAACUUCUCAUCACUUUCUCUUAUCAAAAUAGGCAGCCUCAACACAAGUGGGUUCAUUGGUAAGUUGUGAUUGUUUGGUGAUUUAUUUUGAUUACAAGUUUUGAUUGUUUGGUGAUAUUACUUUGAUUGUUCUUGUACUUUGUGAUAUAUUCUAGCGAUAGUUCAUGGUGGUGAGUUGGUUGUCAUUGUUUUUCUUGGAAUUUAGUGAUUUCUUCUGACUGGCAGUAGUUUAUUUGUUUAUUCCUUGAUGGCAACUGAAAGAGAUGAUUCACUUCAAUUUAUUAGUGUCAGAUUAAAUGGUAAAAAUUACUCAUAUUGGAGUACCGUGAUGAGAAAUUUUUUAAAAGGAAAAAGAUUAUAGGAUUAUGUUAGUGGAACUGUUGUGAAACCUGAGAACACCGCUAAGAAUUAUUUAACAUAGUUAGAGAAUUGGGAGUUGAACAACGCAAAAAUUCUCACUUGGAUUCACAAUUUUGUUGAACAAUCCAUUGGUACAUAGUCAACAAAGUUAAGUCCAACUUUGCAAAAUGGUAUCAGUUAGAGAUUGAUAUAUGGGCUUUACAUCAAAAGGAUAUGAGUAUUCUUGAGUUUUACGCAACUAGAAUUCAAUUUGGGAUGAGUUGGCUCUUCAAGAAUUAAUAGGACUAAAAGUAUGUGAGAAAUAUAUUACUUUUAAAGAGGGGCAGCGAUUAGUUCAAUUUUUAUAGCACUUUGUAGUGAUUUUGAGGGACUUGGAGGCUCUAUAUUGCAUCACACUCCACUUUCCUUAGUUGAUUUGGUGGUUAGUAAACUUAUAGCUGAUGAAAUACGUUUGAAAUUUCUUGCAGGAGAAGUAUUUCUUCCUUCAUCUAGCACCUUAGUGUUGGCUGUGCCCUCUCGACUGUCUACACAAAAUCAAAACAAAGGUUAUGUACGAGUUGCCAGUGAUGAGUGUAGCUUUUGCAAACAAAAAAGAUAUUGGAAGUCUUAAUGUCCUAAACUAUUGAAGAAACAGUAGCCUCAAUCACAGCAGCGAGCCUAUCGUCCCAAUGCUAACAUAGCUAACACCAUGCCACCUAAUUACUCGUCUAUACUUGGAACACCACCUUCCUCCAGUCCCAUGUCAACGGAUUUAGCAGAGCUGUUUCAAAAGUUCUUAGCCACAUAGCUAUAUACUAUGUCAACCUCUACUUAUAUAGGUUUGUCAUCUUAUAGUUACUCAGGUAUUUCUUCCUCAUGGAUCUUUGACUCAGGUGCUUCCAAACACACGUCUAACUUAAAUUUUUUUAAUGACUUGUAUCUUUCUAACCCAUCUAUGUCUGUCAUGACUGCUGACGGCACACCAUUACCUUUAGCAGUGUUUGUUCUGUUUAUCACUUUCAGAUAUCUAUUGUGUUCCAACUCUUAUUUUGAAUCUUAUCUCUAUUACCCAAUUGUGUGAUUCUGGAUACUCAGCUCAGUUUUCUUCUACUAUUUUUCAUGUGCAGGAUUCUCAAUCUCAGAACCUGAUUGGGAUAAACCGUAGAUAAUGAGGGUUUUAUGUUCUGGAAAAUCUAAGACCACCACAAGUUGCAACCUCUAAUGUUGAUUUGUCAUCUUUUUCUUUGAAUUCAUUGUCUUCUAGUUUUUAUUUGUGGCAUUCUCGCCUUGGACAUAUUAUCGCUAGUCGUUUGAAAUUUUUAGAUUCUAAGGGUCAAUUGUGAAAUAUACAAACUCAUUAACAUUUCUGAUUGUAUUGAUUGCAAAUUAGCAAAAUUUUCUGUAUUACCUUUUCAUCGAAGUAUUUCU
This 5021-nucleotide long non-coding RNA is filed under the name Olea europaea subsp. europaea. Lineage: Eukaryota; Viridiplantae; Streptophyta; Magnoliopsida; Lamiales; Oleaceae. The record is from RNAcentral.